This 97-nucleotide ribosomal RNA is filed under the name Halobacteriales archaeon QS_4_62_28. RNAcentral's name for it is "partial 16S ribosomal RNA". It matches the Rfam family "Archaeal small subunit ribosomal RNA", at positions 1 to 99 of the family's 1478-position model. The record is from RNAcentral. Lineage: Archaea; Methanobacteriati; Methanobacteriota; Halobacteria; Halobacteriales.
AUUCCGGUUGAUCCUGCCGGAGGCCAUUGCUAUCGGAGUCCGAUUUAGCCAUGCUAGUCGCACGGGUUCAGACCCGUGGCAGAUAGCUCAGUAACAC